CAUUAGAUGGCUGAAAAUUUAAGUAUUGGUCUCUUAAACCAAAUUAUAGUGUUAAACACUUCUAAUG
RNAcentral lists this transfer RNA (67 nucleotides) under Graphocaecilius interpretatus. Its description in RNAcentral is "tRNA-Lys". It matches the Rfam family "tRNA". Rfam says of the family: Transfer RNA (tRNA) molecules are approximately 80 nucleotides in length. Their secondary structure includes four short double-helical elements and three loops (D, anti-codon, and T loops). The record is from RNAcentral. Lineage: Eukaryota; Metazoa; Arthropoda; Insecta; Psocodea; Sphaeropsocidae.